This is a long non-coding RNA of Leucoraja erinaceus (little skate), 1160 nucleotides long. RefSeq lists it as uncharacterized. Lineage: Eukaryota; Metazoa; Chordata; Chondrichthyes; Rajiformes; Rajidae. The record is from RefSeq and is a predicted model, not a curated record. The transcript has 2 exons.
CCACCCCUCCCUUUUUCAGUUCCCCCCCAACAGUCUGAAGAAGGGUUGCGACUCAAAACGUCACCAAUCCAUGUUCUCCAUAGAUGUGUGGGACGGAACUGCAGAUGCUGGUUUAAACUGAAGAUAGACACAAUAAACUGGAGUAACUCAGAAGGACAGGCAGUGUCUCUGAAGAGGAAGAAUGGGUGAUGUUUCGGGUCGAGACCCUUCUUCAGAUAUUCAGAGAGCAACCUCCACAGAUGCUGCCUGUUCUGCUGAGUUACUCCAGUACUGUUCAAUCUGAGGAAGGGUCCUGACCCAAAACGUCACCUGUCCAUGUUCUCCACAGAUGCUGCCUGUCCCGCUGAGUUACUCCAGCAUUUUGUGUGUGUGUGUGUGUGUUGCUAUUGCAAGUGCUCCUGCUGGUGGUGAAGUUAGUGAGGUGUUCUGAUAUAAACCUCACUAAACAUAUGAUCUCUACAAAUCGACAACACUAUCCCCACUGACAUGUUUACUGCUGUAAGCCCACCCUGCCCGAGGCAGCUCGGUUGGGUAAAACCACCUUGACUCUGCUUGACCAAGCUCUUUGAUACAGCGUGUCCUGUUGGAAAGUGGAAAAGCUUCGCAUUUGUUUUUCAUUGAGGAUUGCAUAGAUUGUCACACGGUGGGUGGCGCAGCGGGUAGAGCUGCUGCCUCACAGCGCCAGAGAUUCGGGUUCAAUCCUGACUUCGGGUGCUGUCUGUGUGGAGAACGUGCAAACUCCACACAUACAGCAGCCGAGGUCAGGAACUAACCUGGGACUCUGGCACUGUGAGGCCUGCUGGUUAAAGCAGGAAAAUAUUAAAUCUGAAACUUGAUAAUUUUGUGAACAAACUACCUGUACAAUAUCUUAACGAUUUUUUUUGUUUACAUCAAUUGGUUUACAUUAUUUGAUUGGUUAAUGAUGCAGAAUUAUGACUGCUUACCGCAGGUUUACUGAGGCAUCAAGAGGUAAUAUUCCUCCUUCAGAGAGGACUUGGGUAACCCAGGGACCAGCACAUGAAUGUUAUCAAAAUAUGAAUCAAGCGAAUUUGCAAUAUAAAUGAGGGGAACUGAUGCUGACCAGUUGUACUGGUAGUGAGGCAAGAAUGUUGUAAUUAUUUAAUAUCAGUUGUCAAUAAAGUAUAAUCAUACAAAUUCAA